Molecule: small RNA, 529 nt
Filed under: Arabidopsis thaliana (thale cress)
Lineage: Eukaryota; Viridiplantae; Streptophyta; Magnoliopsida; Brassicales; Brassicaceae
Description: ATSL209610
Source: RNAcentral
AAUAAUUAUUAAUUCAUUAUCAUCAAACUUAGGAUAUUUACGUUUUGGGCGGAAAAAUCAAGGGUUUACGUUUUGGGCGGGAAAAUCACGGGUUUACGGUUUUGGCGGGAAAAUCACGGGUUUAUGUUUUUUGGUGGAAAAAUUACGAGUUUACUUUUUCUCAAUUUUAUCGCUUGUAUAUUUAAGAAAUUUGGAAAAAUAUUGAUUUUAUUAAAUUGGUUUAGAUAUGUUGGUUAAACUUAAAUUGGCAUUGGUUUAAAGAUUUUAGUUGGUUUAGUUCAAUUUUACAAAACUUGAUGAGUUAAUUGGGUAAACCAUUGAAACCAUUAAUCAUUACAACCCAACUCAUUUUACUCAUCAAACCAAUUGACUCAAUAACUCAUUUGACUCAUCAACCCAUUUGAGUCCAAAUUUUUAACUCAUUAGGGUUCAUGGGUUGAGUUGAGUUGAGUUUGACGCAUGAAUUUUGACAUAUUUUGACACCCUAAUUGUCAUACUGUCAUAAUCUGGUAUAAAUAGUUAAAAUUUA